RNAcentral lists this ribosomal RNA (120 nucleotides) under Cairina moschata (Muscovy duck). Lineage: Eukaryota; Metazoa; Chordata; Aves; Anseriformes; Anatidae. The record is from RNAcentral.
GCCUACAGCCAUACCACCCUGGCAACACCCGAUCUCGUCUGAUCUCGGAAGAUAAGCAGGGUCGGGCCCGGUUAAUACUUGGAUGGGAGCACCUUCUGGGAAUACCAGGUGCUGUAGGCU